Non-coding RNA from Schizosaccharomyces pombe (fission yeast), 399 nucleotides. Lineage: Eukaryota; Fungi; Ascomycota; Schizosaccharomycetes; Schizosaccharomycetales; Schizosaccharomycetaceae. The record is from the annotation of a GenBank genome assembly.
AGGGUAGGGUAGGGUAGGUUUAUGCCAAAAGGAAACCUGGUAAUUGUUUAAGAUGAAGAAUGUAUAUGAAAAGGAAGCAAGUAUAUGAGAGGAAGGAGCUAGUCAAUGAUGAUAGCAAGUGGGUUGAAUCAUUGUUUAAUUGAAAUUUUUUGCAAAAACAAUUUAUUAAAAAGUUAAUCAAUGCGCUAGAGCGGUUCUCUAAUCCCACUGAAAAAGAAAAAUAGCAAAGAAACCAGUGAUGAAUCAAUUAUGCAGAACAGAUGAAAUACGUCGAGUUUAAUUUAAAAUAGUUUAGCAACAGGAAAAAGAAUAUGAUAGAUGGAUGGAAAUGAAGACGAAUGAAUUUUUAAAAAAUUGAAGAGAAAAGAAAAAUAAUUUUAGGUGUAAUCGGACUACUGA